Equus caballus (horse) is the source of this 1947-nucleotide long non-coding RNA. Lineage: Eukaryota; Metazoa; Chordata; Mammalia; Perissodactyla; Equidae. The record is from Ensembl.
CGUCUCUUUGCUGGCCUCAGGAUCGCUGUCAUCAGUCAAGGCUGCCGGAGGGUUGUUUUCACGAGUUCUCUCAAAUGCUGCAGGAGCUUAGGAACAGAAAACAGGAGCUGCCUUCGAGAUCUGUUCUGGCAUUGGAAGCAUCCCAAGGUUUCCAGGGUGUGAAUACUGACUUGUCAACCAAAGGGCACGCUCCUCAUUCUCUCAAUGCCUAUCCUGCCUCUUCCAACCCAGGGUUGUGCCACCAUUUUAUCCAUUAAGCCCAGCCCCUGCCUUGUCAGUCCCACCCCAAUACACCAAGGACACUGAACUGGGGUUCUGCAGCAUCUUUGCUGAAAAAAAAUGAAAGGAUAGUUUCAAUCCCAUAGCCCCUGUCAUCACCUCUCAUCACACUCUACUGCCAUGAUCUCCUGAAGCAUGUGAACCUCCGUGACCUCCCUCACAAAUGUCCCCAGGCAUUGCUGAUGUGGCUGCAUAGCAUGGAUGGUCAGGAGACUGUCCAGUGAAUCUUGCAAACUCCUCCUCCCCCAACCUCAGCCAGGAGAUCACUCCUGGGUGAAGUCCUCCCAUCUCAAGCACAGUGAGGCUGUGGGUUGCAGGCUUCAGGACUGGCAUUCCUCUUGGGUAAAGCUUGCCCAUCUGCCACUCAAGAAGACUUUGAAAGUUUGAGUGGGGACCUCAUCUUAUUUACCUUGUCUUCAGUGCCCAGGAUGGUGUAAACAACACCCAGCACAUGUGGUAGGCUGAAUGGAAUGAGCUAACGGAACAGUCAAUGCCCUGACUAGCCCCACUUCCCCCUGAGGAACAGAGCAUUUUGCCUCUCACUAAGUGACUUUCACAAUUCCCCCAUAAGGCCUAGUCUAAGGACACAUAAUUCUUGUCUUGCUGACAGUUCCCAACAGGAUCCUAGAGAGGCUGUUGGUGUGCUAUGGAGAAUACCCCAAACCUCUUCCUUGCCCAUCUCGCUUACAGAGUUGAGCUGCCAGAAGCCAGUCCAGAGCUCGCACUCUGGGCUCAGAGAUCCCCAGUGCCUAUCAGUCUAUUCACCUUCCAGCUCAUGUGAGAACUGUGAAGCCUCCACUUCCUCAAAUACCCACAGCACUGGGCUUUUGCGGGUUGUGAAUGAGAGAAGGCCCCAGAACCCUCCAGCCCUGGCCAUGUUGCUCCUCUGCUGGACGUUCAUCACCGCUGAUGGUGGUCCCGACAAAGGUCAGGUUUGACUAUUCACAGUAGUCAAAGGGUGGAAACAACCCUGAUGUCCACCAGCUGAAGAAUGGAUGACCAAAUGCGAUCUAUCCAAGCAAUGGGAUCUCAUUCACUCAUAAAGCAAAUGAAGUUCUGACACAGCUGCAACGUGGAUGGACCUUGGAAACGUGAUACUGGGUGGAAGAAGGCAGACACCAAAGGCCACAUAUUGCAGGAUUCCAUUUAUGAGAAUGUUCAGAGUUGGCAAAUCUAGGGAGAAGGAAGUAGAUUAGUGAUUGCCAGGGGUCACAGAAGAGGGAGGAAUGAGAAGUGACUGCUAAAGCCUGAGGAAUCUUUAUGGGGUGAUGAAAAUAUUCUGGAAUUAGUGACGGGGGUGAGGGUGAGGUUGUGCCUCUCAGAAGGAGAUGGCAGGAGUUGUGUGGAGUUUCUGAACUUGAUGUGGAGCGAAAGUGCAGUGGUCAGUGAUGGUAGCUGGCCAAGUGGCCUAGGCAAUCCCCACCUGUGGCCUGGGUCCCCUCGAGGCUGACCCUAGAAGGGGUGAGUUGAGGUCAGUGAGCCCCCACAGAGGCAGCUCCUCGGCAGUGGGGAGUCAUUUCCUUCUGCUGAGUUGCACAGCAGGGCCUUUUAAGUGCAGAGCUGACCUGAACUGGGUCCCUCGGGAGGAGACCAGCCUGAUUCCUGCUCUAGAUGGUUCUUCCCAACCCCUUCUUAACUAGAGGUCAGGGGUCGAGUGCUCAUCUGUGC